Small nuclear RNA from Diceros bicornis minor, 107 nucleotides. NCBI's taxonomy places the organism in Eukaryota, Metazoa, Chordata, Mammalia, Perissodactyla, Rhinocerotidae. The record is from RefSeq and is a predicted model, not a curated record.
GCGCUCCCUUCGGCAGCACGUGUGCGAAAAUUGGAACGAUACAGAGAAAAUUAGCAUGGCCCCUGUGCAAGAAUGAUACGCAAACUUGUGAAGCAUCCCAUAUUUUU